RNAcentral lists this transfer RNA (73 nucleotides) under Pseudomonadota bacterium. Its description in RNAcentral is "tRNA-OTHER". It matches the Rfam family "tRNA". From Rfam's summary of the family: Transfer RNA (tRNA) molecules are approximately 80 nucleotides in length. Their secondary structure includes four short double-helical elements and three loops (D, anti-codon, and T loops). Further hydrogen bonds mediate the characteristic L-shaped molecular structure. tRNAs have two regions of fundamental functional importance: the anti-codon, which is responsible for specific mRNA codon recognition, and the 3' end, to which the tRNAs corresponding amino acid is attached (by aminoacyl-tRNA synthetases). tRNAs cope with the degeneracy of the genetic code in two manners: having more than one tRNA (with a specific anti-codon) for a particular amino acid; and 'wobble' base-pairing, i.e. permitting non-standard base-pairing at the 3rd anti-codon position. The record is from RNAcentral. Lineage: Bacteria; Pseudomonadati; Pseudomonadota.
GGCGGCGUGGCCGAACGGUCAGGCACUGGACCUUUCAAUUCUAGGAAACCUGGUUCGACUCCAGGCGCCGCCU